GACAGUCAUAGACGAGUAGACCUUAGGCGAGGGAAGGCAUGUACUUUCCCUAAGAAGCGGGAGGAGAGAAAUAAAUAGAGGGCAGUGGGAUGAGAAGAACCUCGCGGGAUGGGAAGCCGCGGAGGGAAGGGCCGUCUUUGGUUACCUGGAGAGCGGGAGCAGCUGCGGAUCCCUUAUGAAGUGCCCGGAUGAAGCUCCAGCGCUCACGCGCUUUCCGCAUUGAGUGCAGCGCCAUCUUGAGAAGGGCGGAGCCGUCUUGUUUGGAAUGACGUCUGUUCAGAGAGCCAAUCCCAGUCUCGCGACUCCUGCUUGCUGGGCGCGGCUUGGGCCUCCAGGCUGCGCAGCGCAGCCGCUAUCGGGCGGACUGCAGUUCUUGCCGAGCAGUCGCAAUGAUUUGUAUGACAGCUGCUAGCCCAAGAGAGAGUUCCAGAAGAGGGCUACCUAACAGGUGCUGUGGCAUUUAGAAGAGGAAUGGAGCCAUUGUCAACGCACAGCUUGCAGGGGAGCAGGAGAGUCAGUCUAAGAAGGAAAUGUGAUGAUGGAAACAGAGGUUGGAAGAUGGAAGAGGACCCAGAGUCAAGGAAUGCAGGUAGAAAAGAAAAGCCUGGAUUCUCCCCUAAAGCCUCCAGAUGGAACACAGCCCUGCCUCCACCUUGAUUUCAGGACUUCUUACCCCAAGAAUCGUAAGCUAAUACAUUUGUUUUUGUUUUUGUUUUUGUUUUCUUUGAGAUGGAGUCUUGCUCUGCUGCCCAGGCUGGAGUGCAGUGGACUGAUCUUGGCUCACUGCAGCGUCCAUCUUCCGGGUUCAAGCGAUUCUCCUGCUUCAGCCUCUCAAGUAGCUGGGAUUACAGGCGCCCACCACACCCGGCUAAUUUUUUUUUUUUUUAAUACUUUAAGUUUUAGGUUACAUGUGCACAACGUGCAGGUUUGUUACAUAUGUAUACAUGUGCCAUGUUGGUGUGCUGCACCCAUUAACUCGUCAUUUAGCAUUAGGUAUCUCUCCUAAUGCUAUCCCUCCCCCCUCCCCCCACCCCACAACCGUCCCCAGUGUGUGAUGUUCCCCUUCCUGUGUCCAUGUGUUCUCAUUGUUCAAUUCCCACCUAUGAGUGAGAACAUGCGGUGAUUGGUUUUUUCUCCUUGCAAUAGUUUGCUGAGAAUGAUGGUUUCCAGCUUCAUUCAUGUCCCUACAAAGGACAUGAACUCAUCAUUUUUUAUGGCUGCAUGGUAUUCCAUGGUGUAUAUGUGCCACGUUUUCUUAAUCCAGUCUAUCAUUGUUGAAUAUUUGGGUUGUUUCCAAGUCUUUCCUAUUGUGAAUAAUGCCACAAUAAACAUACGUGUGCAUGUGUCUUUAUAGCA
Homo sapiens (human) is the source of this 1356-nucleotide long non-coding RNA. Ensembl annotates it as WARS2 antisense RNA 1. Its record names the gene WARS2-AS1. The record is from Ensembl. Lineage: Eukaryota; Metazoa; Chordata; Mammalia; Primates; Hominidae.